AAUGAGCGGACAUUUCAGAUAUCCUAUUCGGCUAAUCCGAUCCAUAUACCAAACCACAUUUAGAGGCUAUGCAAAACCUGAAAGAUUCAAAUGGUGCCAAGAGGAAUUAAAUGCUGUGCCUAAGGCAGUUCUUGCCGAUGGAAAAGAGAUUCCGAUUAUAGGACUGGGAACAUGGAAUAGCCCUCCUGGACAAGUGGUUGAGGCGGUUAAGACAGCCAUUGAUGUUGGCUAUCGGCACAUUGAUUGUGCCUAUGUCUAUCAGAACGAAGCUGAGGUCGGUGCUGGCAUUGAGGCCAAAAUCAACGAAGGCGUUGUCAAGCGCGAGGAUUUGUUCAUCACCAGCAAGCUAUGGAACACAUUUCAUCGUCCAGCCGCUGUGAGGGCUGCUUGUGAGAAUACAUUGGAUUUGUUGAAGCUGAAGUACCUAGAUCUAUACUUGAUUCACUGGCCAAUGGGUUACAGGGAGGGCUGCGAUCUGUUCCCAGUUGAUAAAGAUGGCAAAACUCUGUUCUCGCCAGACGAUUACGUAGACACCUGGAAGGCCAUGGAGAAGCUCGUUGAAGACGGUCUAGUUAAGUCCAUUGGCGUUUCCAACUUCAACAAGAACCAAAUUGAGCGCGUGCUGGAGGUUGCAAAAAUACCCCCAGCCACAAAUCAAAUCGAAUGCCAUCCGUAUUUAACCCAAAAGAAACUUUCCGAUUUUUGCAAAGCAAAGAAUAUUGCCAUUACCGCAUACAGCCCUUUGGGCAGCCCGAACCGUCCUUGGGCCAAGGAGGGUGAUCCCGUGAUUCUAGAGGAACAAGCCAUUAAGGACAUUGCUGAAUCAAAGAAAAAGACACCUGGACAGAUUCUGAUACGCUAUCAGAUCCAGCGCAAUAACAUUGUUAUACCAAAGUCUGUGACCAAGGAACGUAUCGAAUCGAACUUUAAAGUUUUUGAUUUCGUUUUAACACCUGAGGAAAUCAAAACAAUUGAAAGUUUCGAAUGUAAUGGACGCCUGGUGCCACUGCUCAAAGAUGCUGGCGGUCAUAAAUAUUAUCCAUUUCACGACGAAUAUUAAAUUAAAUCACAAGAAAUCUUUCUAACCGUAUGAGACAUAUGAUAUAUGAACACACAUAAUUAAGUAAAUAUUUCUGGCGAAACUAACAGCGCGAAAUCCGAGAAGCACAGACCCAAUACGGUCAUCCACACCAUCCAUUUGAGAAGGACGAGUUCUGAUUGAAGUCUAUGGUGACAAUAUUUCUAUACAAUAAUCCCUACACUUAUGUACAUGUGGUAUAAAUAAAAUGUUGAAAGAAUAAA
RNAcentral lists this unclassified non-coding RNA (1302 nucleotides) under Drosophila virilis. RNAcentral describes it as "GJ11267". Lineage: Eukaryota; Metazoa; Arthropoda; Insecta; Diptera; Drosophilidae. The record is from RNAcentral.